This 432-nucleotide ribosomal RNA is filed under the name uncultured bacterium. Its description in RNAcentral is "partial 16S ribosomal RNA". It matches the Rfam family "Bacterial small subunit ribosomal RNA", at positions 29 to 506 of the family's 1533-position model. The record is from RNAcentral.
AACGAACGCUGGCGGCAUGCCUAACACAUGCAAGUCGAACGAGACCUUCGUGUCUAGUGGCGCACGGGUGCUUAACGCCUGGUAACCUGCCCUUAGGUUCGGAAUAACUCCCCGAAAGGUGUGCUAAUACCGGAUAAUGUCAUCGGACCAAGGAGUUAUCGCCUUUUGAUGGGCCCGCGUUGGAUUAGCUAGUUGGUAGGGUACAAGCCUACCAAGGCGACGAUCCAUAGCUGGUCUGAGAGGAUGAUCAGCGACACUGGGACUGAGACAAGGCCCAGACUGGUACGGGAGGUAGCAGUGGGGAAAAUAGGAGCAGGGGCGAAAGCCUGCACCAGCGAGGCCGCGAGAGUGAUGAUGGCCUUAGGGUUGUAAAGCGCUUUUGACCGGGAUGAUAAGGACAGUACCGGUAGAAUAAGACCCGGCUAAUUCCGU